RNAcentral lists this ribosomal RNA (590 nucleotides) under Escherichia coli. RNAcentral describes it as "bacterial SSU rRNA". It matches the Rfam family "Bacterial small subunit ribosomal RNA", at positions 103 to 689 of the family's 1533-position model. Lineage: Bacteria; Pseudomonadati; Pseudomonadota; Gammaproteobacteria; Enterobacterales; Enterobacteriaceae. The record is from RNAcentral.
CGGGUGAGUAAUGUCUGGGAAACUGCCUGAUGGAGGGGGAUAACUACUGGAAACGGUAGCUAAUACCGCAUAACGUCGCAAGACCAAAGAGGGGGACCUUCGGGCCUCUUGCCAUCGGAUGUGCCCAGAUGGGAUUAGCUUGUUGGUGGGGUAACGGCUCACCAAGGCGACGAUCCCUAGCUGGUCUGAGAGGAUGACCAGCCACACUGGAACUGAGACACGGUCCAGACUCCUACGGGAGGCAGCAGUGGGGAAUAUUGCACAAUGGGCGCAAGCCUGAUGCAGCCAUGCCGCGUGUAUGAAGAAGGCCUUCGGGUUGUAAAGUACUUUCAGCGGGGAGGAAGGGAGUAAAGUUAAUACCUUUGCUCAUUGACGUUACCCGCAGAAGAAGCACCGGCUAACUCCGUGCCAGCAGCCGCGGUAAUACGGAGGGUGCAAGCGUUAAUCGGAAUUACUGGGCGUAAAGCGCACGCAGGCGGUUUGUUAAGUCAGAUGUGAAAUCCCCGGGCUCAACCUGGGAACUGCAUCUGAUACUGGCAAGCUUGAGUCUCGUAGAGGGGGGUAGAAUUCCAGGUGUAGCGGUGAAAUGC